GUAGGUGGCAAGCGUUGUCCGGAAUUAUUGGGCGUAAAGCGCGCGCAGGCGGUUCUUUAAGUCUGAUGUGAAAGCCCACGGGCUCAACCGUGGAGGGUCAUUGGAAACUGGAGAACUUGAGUACAGAAGAGGAAAGCGGAAUUCCACGUGUAGCGGUGAAAUGCGUAGAGAUGUGGAGGAACACCAGUGGCGAAGGCGGCUUUCUGGUCUGUAACUGACGCUGAGGCGCGAAAGCGUGGGGAGCAAACAGGAUUAGAUACCCUGGUAGUCCACGCCGUAAACGAUGAGUGCUAAGUGUUAGGGGGUUUCCGCCCCUUAGUGUUGCAGCUAACGCAUUAAGCACUCCGCCUGGGGAGUACGGCCGCAAAGGCUG
Molecule: ribosomal RNA, 373 nt
Filed under: uncultured organism
Description: partial 16S ribosomal RNA
Rfam family: Bacterial small subunit ribosomal RNA
Source: RNAcentral